Long non-coding RNA from Cygnus olor (mute swan), 546 nucleotides. RefSeq lists it as uncharacterized. The record is from RefSeq and is a predicted model, not a curated record. The transcript has 3 exons. NCBI's taxonomy places the organism in Eukaryota, Metazoa, Chordata, Aves, Anseriformes, Anatidae.
GCGGCGAGCACCGAGGGGGGUCCUCCCCCCGCUCCGAAGUGCCGCUGGGUUUGCACGGGCCGGUGGUCGCCACGGGAAGCCCCCCACAAGCCCCUUUCUCAGCCCAGCGAACCGGGGCCCCGCGGCCGGUGGCACCUCAGAGGGACCCCGGUACUGAGGCGUUCAGGCGGGAGCCCGGCGUCCUGGCUGAGAGGAGCGGCCGCGGCAUCUCACGACCUAACCCCGUUAAAUGAGGCACGGACGUGAGUGUCUGAGAGCACAGCGCUCAGCAAAAUCAAAACUGAGGGGAGAAUACCAGUGUGAUUAAUGCUCCUCCUGCUCUGCAACAUGAGGUGGAUUGUAAAGCAGGCGCAUCAAAGACAGACAGACAUACUCACAGGUUACCAAGGGAGAAUGCAAAAUUGGUGAGUGCUUGCAUUUUUUCCUGCAAAAUGCUCAGAUACCAGAGAAGAGGAGCAACUGAAAGGACCAUCAAGAAGCAGAAUUUUUUUCCUGUUGACUUCAGUGGAGCACAAGGCAACAACAGGGAAAGAAGUUCAUGCUCCG